This 513-nucleotide ribosomal RNA is filed under the name uncultured bacterium. RNAcentral describes it as "bacterial SSU rRNA". It matches the Rfam family "Bacterial small subunit ribosomal RNA", at positions 28 to 507 of the family's 1533-position model. The record is from RNAcentral.
GACGAACGCUGGCGGCGUGCCUAAUACAUGCAAGUCGAGCGCAGGAAGCAAGGGAUCAUCCUUCGGGGUGUGAACUUGUGGAAUGAGCGGCGGACGGGUGAGUAACACGUGGGCAACCUACCUGUAAGACUGGGAUAACUCCGGGAAACCGGAGCUAAUACCGGAUAACACUUUCUCCUGCAUAGGGAAAAGUUGAAAGGCGGCUUCUGCUGUCACUUACAGAUGGGCCCGCGGCGCAUUAGCUAGUUGGUAGGGUAAUGGCCUACCAAGGCGACGAUGCGUAGCCGACCUGAGAGGGUGAUCGGCCACACUGGGACUGAGACACGGCCCAGACUCCUACGGGAGGCAGCAGUAGGGAAUCUUCCGCAAUGGACGAAAGUCUGACGGAGCAACGCCGCGUGAACGAUGAAGGUUUUCGGAUCGUAAAGUUCUGUUGUUAGGGAAGAACAAGUACCGUUCGAAUAGGGCGGUACCUUGACGGUACCUAACGAGGAAGCCCCGGCUAACUACGUG